Molecule: ribosomal RNA, 985 nt
Filed under: Kushneria sp. CPA-83
Lineage: Bacteria; Pseudomonadati; Pseudomonadota; Gammaproteobacteria; Oceanospirillales; Halomonadaceae
Description: bacterial SSU rRNA
Rfam family: Bacterial small subunit ribosomal RNA
Source: RNAcentral
CAUGCAAGUCGAGCGGUAACAGGGGUAGCUUGCUACCCGCUGACGAGCGGCGGACGGGUGAGUAAUGCAUGGGAAUCUGCCCGAUAGUGGGGGAUAACUCGGGGAAACCCGAGCUAAUACCGCAUACGUCCUACGGGAGAAAGCAGGGGAUCUUCGGACCUUGCGCUAUCGGAUGAGCCCAUGUCGGAUUAGCUUGUUGGUGAGGUAACGGCUCACCAAGGCUGCGAUCCGUAGCUGGUCUGAGAGGAUGAUCAGCCACACCGGGACUGAGACACGGCCCGGACUCCUACGGGAGGCAGCAGUGGGGAAUAUUGGACAAUGGGGGAAACCCUGAUCCAGCCAUGCCGCGUGUGUGAAGAAGGCCUUAGGGUUGUAAAGCACUUUCAGUGGGGAAGAAGGCAUGAUGAUUAAUACUCGUCAUGAAGGACAUCACCCACAGAAGAAGCACCGGCUAACUCCGUGCCAGCAGCCGCGGUAAUACGGAGGGUGCAAGCGUUAAUCGGAAUUACUGGGCGUAAAGGGCGCGUAGGCGGCUUGCCAAGCCGGAUGUGAAAGCCCCGGGCUCAACCCGGGAACGGCAUUCGGAACUGGCAGGCUAGAGUGCAGGAGAGGAAGGUGGAAUUCCCGGUGUAGCGGUGAAAUGCGUAGAGAUCGGGAGGAAUACCAGUGGCGAAGGCGGCCUUCUGGACUGACACUGACGCUGAGGCGCGAAAGCGUGGGUAGCAAACAGGAUUAGAUACCCUGGUAGUCCACGCCGUAAACGAUGUCGACCAGCCGUUGGACCCCUUGAGGGUUUGGUGGCGCAGUUAACGCAAUAAGUCGACCGCCUGGGGAGUACGGCCGCAAGGCUAAAACUCAAAUGAAUUGACGGGGGCCCGCACAAGCGGUGGAGCAUGUGGUUUAAUUCGAUGCAACGCGAAGAACCUUACCUGCUCUUGACAUCCUGCGAAUCUCCCAGAGAUGGGAGAGUGCCUUCGGGAACGCA